RNAcentral lists this ribosomal RNA (406 nucleotides) under uncultured bacterium. RNAcentral's name for it is "partial 16S ribosomal RNA". It matches the Rfam family "Bacterial small subunit ribosomal RNA", at positions 28 to 526 of the family's 1533-position model. The record is from RNAcentral.
GACGAACGCUGGCGGCGUGCCUAAUACAUGCAAGUCGAACGAGUGGCGGACGGGUGAGGAAUACAUCGGAAUCUACUCUGUCGUGGGGGAUAACGUAGGGCAACUUACGCUAAUCCCUCCUACGAUUGAAUGAGCCGAUGUCCGAUUAGCUAGUUGGCGGGGUAAAGGCCCACCAAGGCGACGAUCCGUAGCUGGUCUGAGUGGAUGAUCAGCCACACUGGAACUGGGACACGGUCCAGACUCCGAAGGGAGGCAGCAGUGGGGAAUAUUGGACAAUGGGCGCAAGCCUGAUCCAGCCAUACCGCGUGGGUGAAGAAGGCCUUCGGGUUGUAAAGCCCUUUUGUUGGGAAAGCGGUACCCAAAGAAUAAGCACCGGCUAACUUCGUGCCAGCCGCCGCGGUAAUAC